This 71-nucleotide transfer RNA is filed under the name Candidatus Pacearchaeota archaeon. RNAcentral describes it as "tRNA-Trp". It matches the Rfam family "tRNA". Rfam says of the family: Transfer RNA (tRNA) molecules are approximately 80 nucleotides in length. Their secondary structure includes four short double-helical elements and three loops (D, anti-codon, and T loops). The record is from RNAcentral. Lineage: Archaea; Nanobdellati.
GGAUCCAUAGUUCAAUGGUAGAAUAGCCGCCUCCAGAGCGGUUGAUUAGGGUUCAAUUCCCUAUGGGUCCA